RNAcentral lists this long non-coding RNA (491 nucleotides) under Cucumis sativus (cucumber). Its description in RNAcentral is "long non-coding RNA (CSAT_LNC001232)". The record is from RNAcentral. Lineage: Eukaryota; Viridiplantae; Streptophyta; Magnoliopsida; Cucurbitales; Cucurbitaceae.
GGGGAAGAUGGUUAGCGGAACGGAUACACUGACCCCGAUGACAAUGGUGGCCAAUCUGGUGGAUGGAUAUCUUGCAGAGGUAGCUCCCGAUGUGAACCUGAAGUUGCCAAAAUUUCAGUCCCUUGCUGCUGCGAUCCCUGAUUAUGCCAGGCCAUUAGAUGAUGGAAUUUAUCAUGCCAUUGAUGUGUACCUAAAAGUAAGAUCUAUUUCCCCCUACCUUUUACAUCAAGUUCAUGUUCUUCACCUUGCAUAUAACUCAAUUCCUAGAACUGAGAGUAAUCAUCUACUUUAGCCUGUAGAUACUGACAUCUUGUAAUCUGGUUAAAUUUUAAACCUUUGUGGAGUAAUCAUUCAUUAUAUUUGUAAAAGAAGAAUGAAUAAUAACAAUAUAGAUCUUACUAAAUUAGCCAUUCAUCUAAUCUCAGGUCAUCGGGUUAGAUAUACCAUGGUGUUUGGUUGUGAAUCUUUAAUGGCUGAUGGUAGUUUACAAC